Molecule: long non-coding RNA, 7226 nt
Filed under: Ananas comosus (pineapple)
Lineage: Eukaryota; Viridiplantae; Streptophyta; Magnoliopsida; Poales; Bromeliaceae
Description: long non-coding RNA (ACOM_LNC032140)
Source: RNAcentral
CUAGAUUGUGUCGGAUUGUUAGGACUAAUCAUUAAUUUUAAAAAUUAGAGUUAUUAGAAAUACACAAUUAAUUCACUUAAAGCGCAUAAACACAGCGUCUAUAGAUCUCGAUUGUUAUUCAAUCCAACUAGCCUCACGUCAUUUUGAAUAUGAUUUGGCGCAUCCUAAUUAACCUCCAGCUAUAGAUAGAGAUGUCAAUGGGUCUGAUUCGGGGCGGAUUUUCAAAAACCCAAAUCUGAUUCCAAAUCCGAGAUCUGAACCCGAACCCGACGGAUUUUAAAAAUUCAUCUCCAAAUCCGAACCCCACCAAAAAUCCGAAACCCGAACCCGAAAAUUUGAACCCGAAACAAUUAUUUUUUUUUCAAUAUUUCAAAAUAUAUUAUAUUAAAUCUAAAAUUUUAAAAUACAAAUUCAAAUAUAACAUCAAAUAUAUAUAUAUAUAUAUAUAUAUAUAUAUAUAUAUAUAUAUAUAUAUAUAUAUAUAUAUAUAUAUAUAUAUAAUACAAAAUAAAUUAGGGUUCGGGUCGGGUACAGUGAAAAUUUAUAUCCGAAUGCUUAUCCGUCAAGUUUCUAUUUUUGAUAUCUAUACCCGAUCGAAUCCAUAUCCAUUUAGCAUCAGAUAUAUCCGUUUCAUUCGGAUUUGGAUUCGGAUUCGGAUAAAUUUUCGAAUAUCCAUACCCAUUGACAUCCCUAGCUAUAGGGCAAGAUGCUAUCCCUUUUAAGCCAACAGAUUGCACUCACGCACCAUCUCUUCGGCAAGAAAUUCUUUAAUGAGGUUUUACCUCCUUAUAAGAUUGUUGUAAGGCUAGUAACUAAACCAAGCUUAGCUCAAAAUUUGAUUAAAAUGAACAUGUCAAGUCUCAAAAUCUUAUCUUGUUCAAUUGUCUAUGAAUUAUAGCGAUUUUUAAUAUAUAUUUUUGUUAUCAGUAUCUAGGUUUUUUUUUUGUCCUUUUUUUUAAAAUUUUGUGAAUCCACUGGUGAAAUAAAAUAAAAUAAAACGUCGGGCCGGGCAACUUUUAGCCACAAGAAUGCAACACGUGUAGCUGCACGUGAUUUGAAACUUCAAGAAAAACAAAAAUAUUAUUUAAAAUCAUUUAUAUAUAUAUAUAGGAAGGUUGAUAUGAAGAAAAAAAAAAACUAUAAUUUCAGAGACAGUGAAGUGACUAGACUUUGAACAAUAUCAGUUUUGCCCCUUAUAAAGAGAAUUCCUGUCCUGAACAUGAGUGAAUCAAAUAAUAUGAAAAAAAUAAAAAGCGAGAGAGAGAGAGAGAGAGAGAGAGAGAGAGAGAGAGAGAGAGAGAGAGAGAGAGAGAGAGAGAGAGAGAGAGAGAGAGAGAGAGAGAGAGAGAGAGAGAGAGAGAGAGAGAGAGAGAGAGAGAGAGAGAGAGAGAGAGAGAGAGAGAGAGAGAGAGAGAGAGAGAGAGAGAGAGAGAGAGAGAGAGAGAGAGAGAGAGAGAGAGAGAGAGAGAGAGAGAGAGAGAGAGAGAGAGAGAGAGAGAGAGAGAGAGAGAGAGAGAGAGAGAGAGAGAGAGAGAGAGAGAGAAGUUAUUGCUUGCAUAUGGGCCAUGGUUGGUCGCAUAUGGAGAUAUAUAUCGACUUUAUAUCAUAAUAGAAAUUAAACAACUCGCGCAUAACUCUCGAUGAGUUGUACUGGUACUCUCUCUCUCUCUCUCUCUCUCUCUCUCUCUCAUUGAUAGAAUUUCAAAGUAUAUAAAAUAAAUAGAGAAAUAAAUACAUAGCAGAACUCAGAAUUAAAAUAAAACAACUCACAGAACGUCAUAAAAAAAAAAAUUUUGAUCAAUCUGCGAAAGUGAAAAGUUCGGCUAUGAUAUGAAAAUUACGAAUCGAAGUUGGGUAAUUUGGUUUCUCCUUCUAUCUCAGGCACUCUAUCGUAUGGUGUGGAACCGAUGGUAAUUCUUCACCAGAAUGCGUAUAAGAAGGUGGCAGGACCAAUAUCCUUUUAUAUAGAGUCUAGAUCGACUUCCCAUCAAAUCUAUCCUUUUGAUCAUUUUGACUCGUUAGAUCAUACUAUUCAACCAACCACCCACUCAAUCCUAGGAAGCCCACAUCAUCCUAACCGCACAUCUCUUAAUUCAAUGACCAAAAACUUGGUGGCACCAAUGACUUGGUGCUAUUAAUAGUAUAUUAGCCUAGUUCUAUAUAUAUAAAAAAUAGAGUAUGGUUACUAUACUCUUUUGAGUAUAGAGUUCUUCGUACUUAUAUAUUAUUUUCGAUGAUUGAGCUUUCGAAUUGACGAUCCACACCAUUAAAUAUAAUCUAAAUUAUUUAAAAGUUUUAGAAAUAAAAUUCGUAAUUUUUUGAAAUUAUAAUAAAGUCCAUCAAGCGAGUAUAAAAUGAACGAUCAAAAUCAAACAACGUCCUAAGAAUCGAACGACAUCCUAAAAAUAGAUAAAUAGAUUCCUUAAUUAAAAAUCAGGAUUAUUGAUCUUUAUCUAAAUACUGAAUAAAAUUUUUUAUCAAAAAUUCAACCGAUUCUGAUUUCUUUACACAAUUAAACUAGCAAGUAUUCCAUACCGGUUGUUAGAAUUAAUUUGUCGAUUUUGAGAUCUUUUGAUCGUAAGGUAAAUGAUAUUAAAAAAAUUAUGAAAUUUGAUUUCUAUAAAUUUUAAAUACUCAAAAUAAUAUUUAAUGGUAUGAAUCGUCGAUUCAAAAACUUUAUCAUUGAAAAUAACUUAUGAGUACGAAGACGAUUGUAUUUAUAAGAGUAUAGUAAUCGAAUUCAUAUAUAUAUAUGUAUGUAUAUAUAUAUAUGUAUGUAUAUAUAUAUAUGUAUGUAUGUAUAUAUAUAUAUGUAUGUAUGUAUAUAUAUAUAUAUAUUGUAUAUAUAAUAAAAUAUAUAUGUAUAUCUAUAUUACGUACGAUACUAUAUAUAUUAUACCUGUAUAUGUAUGUAAUAUAUAGUGAUAUAGGUAUAGUAGUAAUAUAUAUUGUAUAUAUACUAUGCUAAUUUAAUAUUACCGAUAUAUAAUUAUAUAUAUAAUAUAUCAUAAUAUAUAAAUUAUAUUGUAUUCAGUAUAUAUAUAUUCAUAUAUAUAUAAUAUAUUGUAAUGUAUGUAUAUAAUAUACUAUAGUGUAAUGUAUGUAUAUAUACUAUAUAUAUAUAUAUACUAUAUAUCAAUAUAUAUAUAUUAUAUAUACAUUAAUAAUUAUUAUGUAUGUAGCUUUUACUUACAUCCUGUAUGUAUAUGUAUGUAAUUAUAUAUAUAUAUUAGUACUAGUAUGUUAUAUAUUGUAUAUGUAUAUAUGUAUAUAUACUAGUUAAAUGUAUAGAUAUAUUAUUAUGUAUAUUUAAUUAUAUUAGUGGUAUAGAUAUAUGUAUAUAUGUUAUAUAUUAGUAUACAAUAUGCUAUAUAAUAUGUAUAGCUAUUAUAUAUACUAUGUUUAUGUAAUAUAUAUAUGUAUAUAUGAUAUAAUAUUGUAUAUAUAUAUGUAAUAUAUGAUAAUAUAUAUAUAUAAUGUAAUGAUAUUAUAUGUUAUGUAUAGUAUAUGAUUGUAUAUAGAAAUCUUAUGUAUAUAUAAUAUUGUAUUAUCGUUAUAUAUAUAUUAUGUAUAUAUAGUAUGAUAUGAUAUGUAUGUUAUAUAUAGUACUAUAUGUUAUGUAUAUAAGUAUAUAUAUAUAAUUAUUAUAUAUUAUUAAUAAUAUAUAUAUAUAGAUUUAUACAUGUAUAUAUGUAUGUAUGUAGUAGAUAUAUGGAUUAUGUAAGUAUGUGUGUGUGUAUUAUAUUUUAUAUAGAGUAUUAUAAUAUUGUAUAUAAUUAUAGUAUAUGUAUGUGAUAUAUCAUAAUAUAUAUGUAUUAUAUAUAAAUAGAUAUAUAUAUUUUAUAUGUUAUGAAUAAUAUAUGUAAUAUUGUAUAUGUAUAUAGUAUAAUUAUAUAAUUAUUUUUUAUAUAAUUAUAUUGUAUGCUAUGACGUAAUAAGGUAGUGUAGUGUAUGUUUAAUAAGUUGACUUGAUGUAUGUAUGUGAUUGUAUAGGGUUUAUCAUAAUAUAUGUUUAUUAAUAUGUUGUAUGUAAUAAUGUAUAUCUAUGUUGAUCUUAUGUAGUAUAUUCUUUUCUAUAUAUAUAAUAAUAUAUGCACACAGUUAGCUAUCUUCUUAGUAGUAGGUAUCUGUAUAGCUAGAUUUUGAUGUGACUCACAUCUACCGAUAUAUAAUAUAUAACUAUGAAUAUUAAAGUAUAAAACUAUUAGAUAUUUAGUAUAUGUUAUGUAUGUAGUUAUGGAUUGAUAUAGUACUGUAUGUAAUAGUAGUAUUCGUGGUAGUGAAGUGACAAGCGGUCAUUAAAAGGUCCGCCGGACACUAUACGACUGCUUAAAGCUAUAGUCAGCCGACAAAUACAUUUAAAGAAUAUUGGCGCCAUCAAGCCCUGAUAAAGUCAUAUGAUUCGACUUCAUCGUUCAGAGGUAUGGAGAGCCGGUCUUCGAAUAAAAAUCUGACUCGGUUUUCGUAAUCCGACACGUGGUUCGUCUGAAGAAAGUCGUCGCCUGCUAGAUAUGGACGGUUGCAUGCUAGUUAAUUGUAUCUCCGCAGCCUACUAUAAUAACGCCGGGAGUGGGUAAUGCAUGUAGAGGCACUAAAAUGCCCUCUUGCCCGCUUUUCCAGGUGGUUUGUAACCUGGUGAAAAUGAUCAAAAGGGUAGAUUACUAAGAUGGCCGAAAACUUGGUACACCAAGUGCUUGUCGUGGCUAUGAAAUAGCAUAGUAGCCGUUUCUCGAUGAAUUGAAUUUUCGAAUCAACGAUCCGGUCCCUUCCGUUAGACCUGAUGCUAGGCGUAAGAUUUAGGUAAAAGCAUGUUCGAAAGCUUUCUAGAGACAAAUUUUAGAUUUAUUUGAUAUUCGAUUUACCUAUGUGAUCGAGAAGAUAUUCAAAAUCCAUAAUAUUUAAGUUCGAUGAUCCGUGCCGUUUUCAAUUUUAAUGUGUGUAAAGAAGUAUUCAAUAAGAUGAAAUGUUGACUGUAAAAUUUUUUAUAGACUAUCAAUACAUCUUUUGUCGAAUCAAAUUUGUCUAUCCUUAUAUAGAAUUUUUUUCCGUGUAAAAUUAUUGAUUUUAUAUUAUCGAUUGCUAGGUAAAUGAUAGUCUGAAAAAUCACAAAAAUUAUUUUCUAGAAACUCACAGGACCGCUAGAUCAACUAUUAACGGAGCCGAUCGUAUGAUUUCGAAACUCCAUCAUCGAUAAACGGCUCAGGCAGCACGGAGACCUCCGUGGUCGCUGAGAGCACAAGCACCCGCUCUAUAUAUAUAGUAUUAUAUAUAUAUAUAUAUAUAAUUUUAUAUAUAUAUUAAAUAUACCCUAUACCCUAUUAUAUUAUAAUUACAUAUAUAACUGUAGUAGGUUGAGCUAGAAUACUCUUAAAAGCACAAAGAGGGUGGUGCUUUUGAGUUUUUAGUCUUUGGAUGGAGAGAUGUAGGGUUGGGAUGAUGGUGGUAGGUAUGUGGAAUAGUGUUUGAUUCAAGAGAUAUUAGUAAGCAAGAAGUAGAUCCAAGGGCUAGAAAUCUAGAAGCACUAAGGGGUUGGUGCUUCUAAAAGUAUUCUAACUCAAUUAUAUAUAUAUAUAUAUAGAGUCCGGCUACUAUACUCUUAUGAGUACGAUCGCUUUCGUACUCAUAAGUUGUUUUUGAUGAUAGAGCUUUCGAAUCAACGAUCCAUACUGUUAAACAUUAUCUAGAACAUUUAAAACUUCUAAAAAUUAAAUUUUAUAAUUUUUCGAUAUUAUUUAUCUUAUGAUCAAAAGCUCACAAAAUUGACAAUUUUUAACGGCCGGUAUGAAAUAUUUGCUAGUUUAACGGUGAAAAAGAAUCGGAAUUUGUUAAAUUUUUGAUAGAAAAUUCUAUUCGCUACCUAGAUAAAGAUCAAUAACUCUGAUCUUGAAUUGAAGGAUCCGAUCAUCCAUUUUUAGGAUGUCGUUCGAUUUUGACCGUUCAUUUUAUACCCUCUUAAUGGGCUUUAUUAUGAUUUCGAAAAAUUACGAAAUUUAUUUUCUAGAAGUUUCAAAUACUUUAGAUCAUAUUUAAUGGUGUGGAUUGUCGAUUCAAAAUUUUCAACAUUGAAAAUAAUCUAUGAGUACGAAUGGCUCUAUACUCAUAAGAGUAUAGUAGCCCUACUCUAUAUAUACAAAAACAAAUUUUUUCAUGCAUAGCAUGCAUACUAGGAAAUAUUGCUACAGGCUUAUAUGAUUGACAAAACAACCCUUCAAGUAAAAGAAUUAAUAUAUAUUGUCAUAUAUUUGUAGAAUAUCUUUUCAAAAAUAUGAUACAUAUUGGAAGGUUAGGUACAAGGUUUAAAGUGUCGUCUUGUGCCGUACAGUACGAGGCGGCACAUACCAUACCACCUUUGGCACGAUACAGGGAGGUCUCGGACCCCCCUUCGUGCCGCAGCACCUAAUGCCAUGCCGUACGAGACAGAGCGAUACGGCGCAGCGUGCCACGACACAGUGCCGUGCUGGUACUGUGCUUUUUUAAUAAACUUUUUUUUUAUUUUUUAGGAUAUCCAAAAUAUUUUGGGUACUCCACGACCUCCCAAAGACAUUACAAAUCGAAAAUUUACUUAUUAGGUAAAUCAAAAAAAUUAUAGUUUAAUUUUUUUGUUUAUCAAUAUAUAGGCAAAAGAUUUGUCUGAACCCUCUACUUCUAUCACAGAUAUCUAUUUUUUCUUCACAAAUUAUUUUAUCAAAAUUUGUCGCAUCGCGAAAUUUUUGACGAAUUAAGAGAAUAAAAUCGAACUCAAUAAACAAAUUUUGAGUCACAUCAAACAAAAAAGUUUAUUUUGCGCUAAAAGAUUGAAAAUACUGAUAAAAAUUAAAGUUAAUUUAAAUCAAUUGAUACUUAAAUUUAUUUAAUUUAUUUGUCAUAUAAUUUAUUGCUUAAUUUUUUUAAUAAAUCUAUUAAUUCUUUUUAAAAAAUUAAUUUAAAAAUAAUUUUUUCAAAUAUUUUUUAAAAUAAUUUUUUUUAUAUUUUAUAAAAGAAAAACUGUAAUAUGGUCAAAAAAAAAAAGAUGUCUUUAUAUUUUAAAAAUUUUAAUUUAUAAAAAUUUCUAUUCUGCAUUAGAUAUAAUUGUACUUUACAUACAAAAAACUUACAAAUAUGUUAAUUAAUCAGUAUAGUAAGCUAUAUAUAGCAAAUAUUUAUAAUUAUUUGAUGAAAUAUUUUAAAAUAAUAUUAUAAGAGAUUAUUGGAAUCAAAAAAACUGAAAUAAAUCCGUAUCAAAAUAU